Long non-coding RNA from Zeugodacus cucurbitae (melon fly), 4558 nucleotides. RefSeq lists it as uncharacterized. The transcript is spliced from 4 exons. The record is from RefSeq and is a predicted model, not a curated record. NCBI's taxonomy places the organism in Eukaryota, Metazoa, Arthropoda, Insecta, Diptera, Tephritidae.
CUAAUGCAGUUUCUAUUAUAUACUGGAAUUGUUUUACUAGCUGAUAUUUUAGACGCUGAAAGGUACAAUCACUUUUUGCUACUUAGUUUGGGUAUGGGAAUUUUAUUAAAUGAAACCUCUUGCAUCGAAAAUAAUGAGUGUGCGAAAAUUUUUUUAAAUGAAUUCGUCAAAAACAUUUCUUGACUUUAUGACGAUUCAUUCUUAACUAUUAACUUCCACUGUCUUAGGUUAGGUUUGUAGGCAGAUCUCUGUAAAAAACAGAAGAUCUCACUUAGACAGUCUUGGCGCUAUCCAUUGUGGUACCAAUAAAACUCUCUGUGGAUCAAAGACCUUUAGGAUUCAGCAAAACGCUUGGAAUCCGAUACAAAUUUCUUAAGACGGCUAAUAUCGAUUCUAGCCAAUUCGCUAGGAUCGCCGAAAGAGGGCCUUCCGAGGUGUUUCAACCUCAGUCUGGCAAAAGCUGGACAAUGAAGAAGGAAAUGCUUAGAUGAUUCCAUCUCGCCUUCCUCCAUACAGCUUUGGCAACUUGCAUCUGUCACGAUCCCAAGUCUGACCGCAUGGGUACCCAUUGGACAAUGUCAGUAAGCACACCCAUGAUGACGCUAAGAUAGACCCUGUCCAGAGAAAGCAGUUGAAAGGACCGCUUACGUUCCAUAGAGAACGAUCGACAGCCUUGAUUUUCCCCCAAUUCCCCCAGUAGGUCGUUCACUACCAGGAUCCAGAGCAAAGGGGAGAGAACGCCGUCUUGCGGGGUACUCCUAUUUACAGUCCGAAGCGCAUUUGCACUUCCCCACUCUGCAAAGACAGUUCUGUCGCUGAGCAGACUGUAGAUGAGAUGCUUAAGGUUCGCUUCUACCCCAAAAUCGUCUAAUGCACCAAUGACCGCUUCCGGUCUAACAAUAUUAAAGGCCCCCUCGAUAUCGAGGAAGGUACCUACCGCGUAAUCAUUAUUUAAGAGGGCUUCUUCUAUCCACUACACUACAUAGUGUAAGGCGGUGUCCACCGACCUACCCUUACAGUAGGCGUGUUGAACUUUAAUAAAUUUAUUUCUGAGGAUUUUGCCCCUUAUGUACAGAUCCAUGAGCCUCUCCAGCGUCUUCAAGAGGAUCGAGGAGAGGCUAAUAGGCCUGAAAUCUUUUGCAGUAACAUGAGAGCUUUUUCCAGCCUUUGGGAUGAAAGACACCUUAACCUGCCUCCAAGCCUCCGGAAUAUGACCCAAUCUGACGCAAUUCGCGAAGAUCGGGGCCAGCCAGCUGCAUGAUACCUUGGUCGCUGUAGCUGCGCAGGUAUAAUGCCAUCUAGUCCGGGGGACUUGAAAGGUUUGAAAGAGUUCAACGACCAGGUUAGGUGGCGAUCAUCCAGAAGGCUUUCGAAGGCGCUUUCACCUCCUUGAAGCUCUCCGAGGGAAGCUCUUUCCGCUAUUUGGUUUUUUGGGAAAUGAGCAUCCAAAAGUAGCUUUAGUGACUCCUCACUGCUCGAGGUCCACUCACCAGCACCGUUCCUCAAUUAACCCACGGAUAUUGGGCUCUUGGACAGAAUACGCCUUCGCAGUAGGCUCUCCAAGAAGAUCGUUUGGCCUUCUUUAUUUCGGACUUAAAAAUGGCAAGUCCGACCUUAUACAAAGCCCAGUCGUCAGCUAGACCACUUUUACGGGCUUUAUUGAAGAAUCUUCGACUAGAAGCUGGACAAGCUCUGUCCAGGUUGAAACUGAUAUACCUAUGGUCUGAGAAGGAGUGAUCAUUGAGAAAAUUCCACCCCGAGAUCAAAUGUACGAUGUCUCUAGAUACCAAGGUAAGGUCGAGGACUUCCUCCCUACCCUCAGUCACGAACGUAGGGGAGUUCCCCCUAUUGCAUAUAAAUAAGUCAACACUACUAAUAAAAUCAAAGAGCGACUCACCUCUAACAUUUAUGUCCGAGCUUCCCCAGACCGUAUGUCUUGAGUUGGCAUCCGAGCCAAUGAUGGCGUUGACUCUCCUACGCCUGGCCUCCCAGAGAGCCUCUCUCAGUAAAACGGGAGGUAGUUCCACCUCGUCGUCGUGCGGCAUAUAAGCCGAGAUUAGCCAGAGUUCUCCGGCAUCACCCUCUAAUCUGGGUAAAAGAUUGUCCAUUCCUAGACGAAGCAAUAGGUUGGCGGAUGCCGCCUUUGCAUGUUGGAGAUUAUUUUGCAGGAUCAUCAUCCUCCAUGGAGGGAAUUGAUGCCCAAAAGGGAAUUGAUACCUUGUCGCGGUGCAGGGGCUUAGUCGUUGCUCAGCCGGCUGCCAUCUGACUGCCAUGGAAAUUCUAAUAGGGUCUUUGUGUCUAGUCAGGUGGUAGCCGUGGGAGCUGCGAUGACCAAGAUCUGCCACCUCCUAAUCCAGGGUGUUAUGCGACUCCCGUGCCCAUUGGAUGGUUUGCAGCCAGGAGGAACAUCCGGCUGUAUUCUAACGGAGCCUUCCCAACACCAGGCCGCAUUGGGAAGUAACUGUGGCCUUACCACGUCGUGGGGCUCUGGCGUGGCGGACCUACCCCUUCCCCACAGUAAAAAUAGUCCAGGAGGCUAACUUUAUGUUAGCCAAAUGGUCGUAAGAAUCAGUAUGGCUAAAUCAAACAAAAAACAAAACAACAAACAAAACCAAGCAGCGAUAAGGGUACUCCCAGCUCAGGGAGAAUACCACGCUUCCUUGAUGCUCUAACGGCAGAGGAGCGUUCGCUGUUCGAGGAGUACGCGAAAGAUGACGACGUGCCCUCAACGAGCAGCGGCAGAGUAGGCAAGCCACUACUCCAGGCAUCCCAGGCGGGAAAUAACCCAAUGGAGGUUCGAGCGAGUACGAACCCCAACAAUGUACCCUCUAUCGCAGAAGAUAAAGGCAAGGAGCCGGCGAAGAAACGGCCAGAAAAACAAACUGAGCCCAACAGGAGACGGAGGCACAGGAGGGGUAAGUACCCUCCGCUACCUGAGGCAGGAUGUCCAGGUGGUCCAGACGAUCCCCGUAGAAUUGGAAUGAGCGGGGCCACUGUAAAGUGGUACCUUCGACACUAAGACGAGGGAAAAUCGCCUGAAGUAGUCAAGGAACUUGCCCUUGGCAGAAUACGAGGCAACGGAGGAAACAACGCCAAAAAAUCGCCUGUAACAAAAGGCUCGCAGGAUAACACUGGCACCAGGCGGCAAGUCAGAGAUGAAAGAGCUGGCAAACGUGACAGAAGCCAGGUAACGCCACAAGAAUUACCAAAUUCAAAACGGCGUAGACCAGCCACGGUUCCGGAGUCGAGCGGGCAAGCUAGUUCCGAAGAAGCGUCCAGGGUAGUAGAUAGCCAGCGCAGGUAUGCGGACACUCUUAUGAGCGUACGCAUUGCAGUACUGCCGCUUAACUACCCAGAGAUAGCUCUGGUCCCGGCCCAACUUACCGUCCUCCAAAACCGUAUUAUGAAACGGUAGCGCUGAUGAGCCUCUUGAAUUCACCAUGGAGCUGAUAACGGCACAAAAUGAGGGAAUUAACACCUCAGCUUGGCGAAUCUUAGACAGUAAAAAAGAAGACUCCAGUAUAAGACUCUACGUCGGGAUAGACGACGUAUUUUAUAAAAUACUCCAGAAGGCGGGUUUCCGCCUAAACUUCAGGUUUAGCGCUGUCCACAUGCGCCCUUGGCGGCCCAAGCCCGCGGAAGAAAGGGGGAAGGAAGGCGCCAAAGUGCAAGGUGGAGCGGAGACGAAUGUAAAAUCCGCCCCCUUGGUUCCCGCCGUGCAGGUGUCUACUGCCGAUGUCAUGGACACCACGGAAGCGCUUCCUAAAGAGUCAACAGAGGUGGCACCCUCUACUCAGGAGCUUUUGGAGGGGAUGGAGGAGCUAGUCGCAGCAGAUAGUAAAGCAAGCGAGCCCAUACUAUGAUGGACUCCAGUUUAGAAGUUGCUCAGGUGAACCUGCAUCAUGCAAUGGCUGCAUCGGCGGUUAUCGCCAGCAGGUUCCUUAAAGACAAACUGAGCAUCAUCUUAGCCCAGGAACCCUGGGUUUUCAGAGGGGAGGUCAGAGGAUUAAACACUGACAACAAGAAGAGUUUCUAACACAGGACCUGGUGGAUGUACAAACAAGGGACAAGGAGGAAAAGGAAGUUGUCGUAGUGUCAGCCUAUUUCCCAGGAGGUAUCACAGUUGUGCCCUCCUCAACUGUGGAGAAAUUACUGGACUACUGCAGGGUACACAAGCUUCCACUUAUCCUAGGAUGUGAUGCCAAUGCACACCAUGUGGAAUGGGGUAGCUCGGACUGCAACCCAAGGGUUUUUACGGACGAUGUUGCCCAGAUAUACUCCUGGAAAGGAACGAAGACGAAAAAUCGGCAAAAGCACUUAGUGUGACGACAGCAUUAAGGCAGGCAUACCAUCAAAAAUUCCCUACCGCUGCCACGGAUAUGGAAUUCGAGCGGACUACAUUGAAUUUUUUCCAACACGCCAGCAACAGAAUAAAAAAAAGAAUUGAAUGCGAAAACAAAAUAAAUAUGUCAUCGUAGAUUUAUUAGUUCUUAUAUUAUUCUAAAAUUCUAAUAAAAAUAAAAAUCAAUUUCAAAACUUAAUUUCAACCAGUUCUUAU